GCCACAUUAGUGAACAGAUGGACAUUGCAUAGAGAGGAACGAUAGGAAAAGGCAGAUUUAGAAAAGAAUGUCCACUUGGAGGGGUUUGUGGCAUUUGGAGGGGGGGAAAUCAGUGCCCAGGAAGGUGGUACGCCGUUAUGGAAUUGCAUAUGUUUGUGGCCCUCAUCCUCUACAAGUUUGAAUUCAUCCCGCUGGAUCCAGUGCCCAAACCGGCAUCAUCUUUUGUUGGUCAUGGUCCAUGGAACAGCAUUCCUGUCAAACAAACAUAGCCUAACCUUGAAAUCUGAUUGGAUAGGAUCGUUUUUCCAGGACCAUCUAGGAUGUUGGAUCCAGGAGCAUGGCCUACUUUGCGAAAUCAAAGACUCUUCAAGCGCAACAUUCCAGAGAUGUUUAGCAGAAGGCCAAUGAUCAACAUGGAUACUAGACUCGAAAGUGGUGUGAUGUAACAAAAUGAAACAUUAACAUUCCUGUUCCUUCAUACAAUGUCAUUUAAUAUCCAUUGACACAAAUACUAAUACACAAAAAACAC
RNAcentral lists this long non-coding RNA (529 nucleotides) under Sinocyclocheilus grahami. RNAcentral describes it as "lncRNA (ENSSGRG00000047572.1)". The record is from RNAcentral. Lineage: Eukaryota; Metazoa; Chordata; Actinopteri; Cypriniformes; Cyprinidae.